This 91-nucleotide ribosomal RNA is filed under the name Methylobacter sp. The record is from RNAcentral. Lineage: Bacteria; Pseudomonadati; Pseudomonadota; Gammaproteobacteria; Methylococcales; Methylococcaceae.
CACCCGAUCCCAUCCCGAACUCGGAAGUGAAACCGUUUAGCGCCGAUGAUAGUGUGGCAGUUUGCCAUGCGAAAGUAGGGAAUUGCCAAGC